RNAcentral lists this ribosomal RNA (813 nucleotides) under uncultured bacterium. Its description in RNAcentral is "bacterial SSU rRNA". It matches the Rfam family "Bacterial small subunit ribosomal RNA", at positions 60 to 879 of the family's 1533-position model. The record is from RNAcentral.
AGUCGAGGGGUAUGGUUCUUCGGAACCAGAGACCGGCGCACGGGUGCGUAACGCGUAUGCAAUCUGCCUUUCACAGAGGGAUAGCCCAGAGAAAUUUGGAUUAAUACCUCAUAGUAUAGCGACAUCGCAUGAUGAUGCUAUUAAAGUCACAACGGUGAAAGAUGAGCAUGCGUCCCAUUAGCUAGUUGGUAAGGUAACGGCUUACCAAGGCAACGAUGGGUAGGGGUCCUGAGAGGGAGAUCCCCCACACUGGUACUGAGACACGGACCAGACUCCUACGGGAGGCAGCAGUGAGGAAUAUUGGUCAAUGGGCGCAAGCCUGAACCAGCCAUGCCGCGUGCAGGAUGACGGUCCUAUGGAUUGUAAACUGCUUUUGCACAGGAAGAAACACUGAUUCGUGAAUCAGCUUGACGGUACUGUGAGAAUAAGGAUCGGCUAACUCCGUGCCAGCAGCCGCGGUAAUACGGAGGAUCCAAGCGUUAUCCGGAAUCAUUGGGUUUAAAGGGUCCGUAGGCGGUCUGGUAAGUCAGUGGUGAAAGCCCAUCGCUCAACGGUGGAACGGCCAUUGAUACUGCUGGACUUGAAUUAUUAGGAAGUAACUAGAAUAUGUAGUGUAGCGGUGAAAUGCUUAGAGAUUACAUGGAAUACCAAUUGCGAAGGCAGGUUACUACUAAUGGAUUGACGCUGAUGGACGAAAGCGUGGGUAGCGAACAGGAUUAGAUACCCUGGUAGUCCACGCCGUAAACGAUGGAUACUAGCUGUUGGAAGCAAUUUCAGUGGCUAAGCGAAAGUGAUAAGUAUCCCACCUGGGGA